GACGAACGCUGGCGGCGUGCCUAAUACAUGCAAGUUGAGCGCUGAAGGUUGGUACUUGUACCAACUGGAUGAGCAGCGAACGGGUGAGUAACGCGUGGGGAAUCUGCCUUUGAGCGGGGGACAACAUUUGGAAACGAAUGCUAAUACCGCAUAAAAACUUUAAACACAAGUUUUAAGUUUGAAAGAUGCAAUUGCAUCACUCAAAGAUGAUCCCGCGUUGUAUUAGCUAGUUGGUGAGGUAAAGGCUCACCAAGGCGAUGAUACAUAGCCGACCUGAGAGGGUGAGCGGCCACAUUGGGACUGAGACACGGCCCAAACUCCUACGGGAGGCAGCAGUAGGGAAUCUUCGGCAAUGGACGAAAGUCUGACCGAGAAACGCCGCGUGAGUGAAGAAGGUUUUCGGAUCGUAAAAAUCUGUUGGUAGAGAAGAACGUUGGUGAGAGUGGAAAGCUCAUCAAGUGACGGUAACUACCCAGAAAGGGACGGCUAACUACGUG
RNAcentral lists this ribosomal RNA (497 nucleotides) under uncultured bacterium. RNAcentral describes it as "partial 16S ribosomal RNA". It matches the Rfam family "Bacterial small subunit ribosomal RNA", at positions 28 to 507 of the family's 1533-position model. The record is from RNAcentral.